RNAcentral lists this long non-coding RNA (328 nucleotides) under Salmo salar (Atlantic salmon). Its description in RNAcentral is "lncRNA (ENSSSAG00000110122.1)". Lineage: Eukaryota; Metazoa; Chordata; Actinopteri; Salmoniformes; Salmonidae. The record is from RNAcentral.
CCUCAUGUGGCCCAUCUAAUUAAAAGGAGUUUAAUUCACACUCCAGGCUGUUAUUUAAAGACCAGAGGAUUGAGAAGACAGUUUCCCUGUCCUGAUGGAGGUCCGACCAAACGAACAUGCAAUAAUCCGCCCCAGUCGUCCAGGCUCAGCGGGCCCCAGAGCUGCAGCCCUCGGUCCCGGGACUCCAUGGCCUUUCAUCUCAAUGACCUGAGCCCUAGGACCAUGCCUCAGGACUACCUGGUAUGAUGACUCCUUGCUGUCCCCAGUCCACCUGGCCGUGCUGCUGCUCCAGUUUCAACUGUUCUGCCUGCGGCUAUGGAACCCUGAC